Molecule: ribosomal RNA, 477 nt
Filed under: Megabalanus azoricus
Lineage: Eukaryota; Metazoa; Arthropoda; Thecostraca; Balanomorpha; Balanidae
Description: partial 16S ribosomal RNA
Rfam family: Bacterial large subunit ribosomal RNA
Source: RNAcentral
UCCUCUUAGGAAAAGAGGUAAGGCCUGCUCACUGAAUAUUUAAAGAGCCGCAGUAUCCUAACUGUGCUAAGGUAGCAUAAUCAUUAGUCUUUUAAUUGAAGACUGGUAUGAAUGGCUAAACGAGAAAUCAACUUUUUUUGUUAUAAAAAUUGAAUUUAAUUUUUUAGUGAAAAAGCUAAAAUUUUUCAGAAAGACGAGAAGACCCUAUAGAGUUUUAUAUCUCAAAAUACUUUAUUUAAAUAGAUUUUUUCAAAUAAAGUAUGAAAAGGUAUUUUGUUGGGGCGACAUUAAGAUAAGAAAAACUCUUUAUUUUAAAAAUUUUUAUGGAAAUAUACUUGAUCCUCUAAAAGAGAUCAAAAGAAAAAAUUACCUUAGGGAUAACAGCGUAAUCUUUUUUGAGAGUUCUAAUCGACAAAAAGGUUUGCGACCUCGAUGUUGGACUAAAAUUUAGGCAGGGUGCAGCAGUUCUGCUUUAAG